CAGUCGCCACGGGAAUACAGAGGGUGCGAGCGUUAAUCGGAUUUACUGGGCGUAAAGCGUGCGUAGGCGGCUUCUUAAGUCGGAUGUGAAAUCCCUGAGCUUAACUUAGGAAUUGCAUUCGAUACUGGGAAGCUAGAGUAUGGGAGAGGAUGGUAGAAUUCCAGGUGUAGCGGUGAAAUGCGUAGAGAUCUGGAGGAAUACCGAUGGCGAAGGCAGCCAUCUGGCCUAAUACUGACGCUGAGGUACGAAAGCAUGGGGAGCAAACAGGAUUAGAUACCCCGGUAGUUCCUGUCUCUUAUAC
This 301-nucleotide ribosomal RNA is filed under the name uncultured bacterium. RNAcentral describes it as "partial 16S ribosomal RNA". It matches the Rfam family "Bacterial small subunit ribosomal RNA", at positions 509 to 807 of the family's 1533-position model. The record is from RNAcentral.